CAGACUUUGCUCGAUUAUCAUGUCUGUCC
This 29-nucleotide small RNA is filed under the name Bombyx mori (domestic silkworm). RNAcentral describes it as "ovarian small RNA-13130". Lineage: Eukaryota; Metazoa; Arthropoda; Insecta; Lepidoptera; Bombycidae. The record is from RNAcentral.